GUCUUUAAGAUUUUAAUUUAAAGUCUAAUCUGCCCAAUGAAUUUAUUUAAAUGGCUGCAGAAUUUUUUACUGUACUAAGGUAGCAUAAUAAUUUGUUUUUUAAUUAAAAACUAGAAUGAAAGAUUUAAUGAAAUAUAAACUGUUUCAAUUAAAUUUAAUUGAAUUUUUUAUUUAAGUAAAAAAACUUAAAUAAAUUUUUAAGACGACAAGACCCUAUAGAAUUUUAUUUUUUAUUUUUAAUUUUUUUUUAAAAUAAUAAAUUUUAUUGGGGUAAUAAAAAAAUUAAUAUAAUUUUUUUUAAAAAAUACAUUUUUAUUGAAUUAUAUAUCUUAAUAAUUUAAAUUAAAAAAAUUAAUUACCUUAGGGAUAACAGCAUAAUUUUUUUUAAAAGAUCUUAUUAAUAAAAAAGAUUAU
This 414-nucleotide ribosomal RNA is filed under the name Campyloneurus sp. Its description in RNAcentral is "partial 16S ribosomal RNA". Lineage: Eukaryota; Metazoa; Arthropoda; Insecta; Hymenoptera; Braconidae. The record is from RNAcentral.